UGAUUUCAUUCUGGCCACAAUAAUUUUUUUACACGAUCACACCUGUGUUAUUUGUACGUACAGUUUAUUCAAAAUCACAUAAUUUGACGCCACUGGCUGUCACUGUAUACAGGCAUUACUAGUCGAUUAGCUACAUUACUAGUCGAUCGCAGAGCGAAUCACUUUCAUAUUAAAGCGCUUGUCAUCUUGUUACGGAAAGGCGUUCACACGGAAGAUCACGGGAUAAUUUUGACACCGUAGCAUUUACCAAUCAACAAGGGUAGUGCUAGCCACGAAGUUCAACAAUGGUUUUUGAAUCUAUGGUCAGUGAUCUCCUGAAUAGGUUCAUCGGAGACUAUGUGGAAAACCUCGACAAGUCCCAGUUGAAGAUUGGCAUUUGGGGAGGCAAUGUUGUUCUGGAAAACUUGAAAGUUAAAGAAAAUGCUUUGAGUGAGCUGGAUGUUCCGUUUAAAGUGAAAGCUGGUCAGAUUGGUGAGUACCGGCGGC
This is a long non-coding RNA of Salvelinus fontinalis (brook trout), 486 nucleotides long. RefSeq lists it as uncharacterized. NCBI's taxonomy places the organism in Eukaryota, Metazoa, Chordata, Actinopteri, Salmoniformes, Salmonidae. The transcript has 3 exons. The record is from RefSeq and is a predicted model, not a curated record.